This 434-nucleotide ribosomal RNA is filed under the name uncultured bacterium. RNAcentral's name for it is "bacterial SSU rRNA". It matches the Rfam family "Bacterial small subunit ribosomal RNA", at positions 958 to 1394 of the family's 1533-position model. The record is from RNAcentral.
AACGCGAAGAACCUUACCAGCCCUUGACAUCCGUCGACCGUCGCAGAGAUGCGUUUUUCCCUUCGGGGACGGCGAGACAGGUGCUGCAUGGCUGUCGUCAGCUCGUGUCGUGAGAUGUUGGGUUAAGUCCCGCAACGAGCGCAACCCUCGCCUUCAGUUGCCAGCAUUCAGUUGGGCACUCUGGAGGGACUGCCGGUGAUAAGCCGGAGGAAGGUGGGGAUGACGUCAAGUCCUCAUGGCCCUUACGGGCUGGGCUACACACGUGCUACAAUGGCGGUGACAAUGAGCAGCGACUUCGCGAGGAGGAGCUAAUCUCAAAAAGCCGUCUCAGUUCGGAUUGCACUCUGCAACUCGAGUGCAUGAAGUCGGAAUCGCUAGUAAUCGCGUAACAGCAUGACGCGGUGAAUACGUUCCCGGGUCUUGUACACACCGAA